UCUGAGCAGCUUCUCCCGCCUCCUCCUGAGCCAAAGAACCCUUCCCAACACUCCAUACUGGUAUUUUCCAGGUCAAGCUUAGCCACAGUGUUCUCUGGAUUGCAAAAGCAGCACGUGCCUUCAAGCACGGAGCAAACUUGGUGAUGCAGCUGCAGAGAGCCAGGAACCAGCUCCUGAAAUGGGAAGAAGAGUCAUUUACAUGGAAGGAAGGAAGGAUACAUUGAGAAAUAGCACAUACACCCUGAUUAAACAAGUGGGAAUUAGCCCUGGGGAAUGCCCAGGACAAAGAAGGGGCAGUUCCCUUUUGGUUUGGCUCAUGAUGUGAGGAAUUAAAAGGCUGGUAAAAGCUGCUGCAGAUUUAUGAAAAGGAAGAUCCCACCAGGCAAAGGGGCUGAGAUGCCAAGGUUGGAAAUGGAAUAUGUUUGAUGACACACACAGAGAACAUUUUGUCUCCUGGCACAUGAGGCAUAAAACACAACCCUGUUGUGCAGUGUAGGGGUU
Molecule: long non-coding RNA, 501 nt
Organism: Pipra filicauda (Wire-tailed manakin)
Lineage: Eukaryota; Metazoa; Chordata; Aves; Passeriformes; Pipridae
Exons: 4
Source: RefSeq, a predicted model, not a curated record